Molecule: long non-coding RNA, 199 nt
Filed under: Olea europaea (common olive)
Lineage: Eukaryota; Viridiplantae; Streptophyta; Magnoliopsida; Lamiales; Oleaceae
Description: long non-coding RNA (OEUR_LNC008771)
Source: RNAcentral
CUUGUCUUAGGCGACUCAUCCUUCGUCAAAGAUCAUAGACUUGGGAUUUAUCAUUCCCAUCAAAGUAUGUAGUGGCAAUAGCAUCCCAAACUUCCUUAGCAGUAUGGAAACGAAUGAAAUUGCCAAUCAGAACAGGGUCCAACGAAUUGAUAAUCCAUCCCUUGACAAUGGCAUUCUCAGUUCGCCAUUUUCGGAAGGA